UAUGAAGAACGUAGCGAAAUGCGAUAAGUAAUGUGAAUUGCAGAAUUCAGUGAAUCAUCGAAUCUUUGAACGCACCUUGCACCCUUUGGCAUUCUGAAGGGUAUGCUCGUUUGAGUGUCAUUGUACUCUCACACUCCCGAUCUUUGCAUUGGGAGCAGUGGACUUGGGUUUGCUGCUUCACCGUCGCUUACCUCAAAUAGGUUAGUGCAACUCUUGGUUGGACAUAGUACGGCGUGAUAAGUGUUCUUCGCCGGUGCCUCGCAAAGAGGGUGGCCGAUCGGGAUGUUGUGCUCCAAACCGUCUUCGGACAAUCUCUGACGACUUGACCUCAAAUCGAGUAAGACUACCCGCUGAACUUAAGCAUAUCAAUAAGCGGGGGA
RNAcentral lists this unclassified non-coding RNA (380 nucleotides) under soil metagenome. RNAcentral describes it as "partial contains 5.8S ribosomal RNA, internal transcribed spacer 2, and large subunit ribosomal RNA". The stretch from base 2 to 120 matches the Rfam family "5.8S ribosomal RNA", at positions 36 to 154 of the family's 154-position model. The record is from RNAcentral.